AACGAACGCUGGCGGCAGGCUCAACACAUGCAAGUCGAGCGCCCCGCAAGGGGAGCGGCAGACGGGUGAGUAACGCGUGGGAAUCUACCCAUCCCUACGGAAUAGCUCCGGGAAACUGGAAUUAAUACCGUAUACGCCCUACGGGGGAAAGAUUUAUCGGGGAUGGAUGAGCCCGCGUUGGAUUAGCUAGUUGGUGGGGUAAAGGCCUACCAAGGCGACGAUCCAUAGCUGGUCUGAGAGGAUGAACGGCCACACUGGGACUGAGACACGGCCCAGACUCCUGCGGGAGGCAGCAGUGGGGAAUCUUCCGCAAUGGGCGAAAGCCUGACGGAGCAACGCCGCGUGAGUGAUGAAGGCCCUCGGGUCGUAAACUGCUUUUAUAUGUGACGAUUAUGACGGUAGCAUAUGAAUAAGGAUCGGCUAACUCCGUGUCAGCCGCCGCAGUAA
This 447-nucleotide ribosomal RNA is filed under the name uncultured bacterium. RNAcentral's name for it is "partial 16S ribosomal RNA". It matches the Rfam family "Bacterial small subunit ribosomal RNA", at positions 29 to 523 of the family's 1533-position model. The record is from RNAcentral.